AAGAGACAGCAGUCGCCGCGGGAAUACGUAGGGUGCAAGCGUUAAUCGGAAUUACUGGGCGUAAAGCGUGCGCAGGCGGUUAUAUAAGACAGAUGUGAAAUCCCCGGGCUCAACCUGGGAACUGCAUUUGUGACUGUAUAGCUAGAGUACGGCAGAGGGGGAUGGAAUUCCGCGUGUAGCAGUGAAAUGCGUAGAUAUGCGGAGGAACACCGAUGGCGAAGGCAAUCCCCUGGGCCUGUACUGACGCUCAUGCACGAAAGCGUGGGGAGCAAACAGGAUUAGAUACCCCUGUAGUCCCUGUCUCUUAUAC
Molecule: ribosomal RNA, 310 nt
Filed under: uncultured bacterium
Lineage: Bacteria
Description: partial 16S ribosomal RNA
Rfam family: Bacterial small subunit ribosomal RNA
Source: RNAcentral